Molecule: long non-coding RNA, 734 nt
Filed under: Pogona vitticeps (central bearded dragon)
Lineage: Eukaryota; Metazoa; Chordata; Lepidosauria; Squamata; Agamidae
Description: lncRNA (ENSPVIG00000021226.1)
Source: RNAcentral
GGGAGAGAGAGGGCUGGCGUUUGGGGCCAGCAAUUGUAAAACGGGGGGGGAGGGGAAAGACAGGCUGACUUUAGGAAGUGGAAAGGAGGAGACGGGGGGGGAGCGGUGUGGGCUUGGUGACAUCUCUCCCCUUGGCCCAAAGUGUCCAACCCAGGUGGACAAGGAAUGCUGCGCCCCGAGAACGCGCCUCACCCCAAACCACUAAGCGGCUGAAGGCCGGCUCCACGUUCUGCGGACCGAUUUAAAGGCCCCACAGUUCUACCCACUAGGUUUCCCAAGAAAGCAGGACGUCCCCAGUGUUUACUUUGGAGGAAAGAGGGAUCGAUCCCGCCUCUCGAGUUAAUCCCAUUGAAAGGACGACGCGAGGAGAGAGGCCGUUUCCAUUCUGAUCCGUUCGCCCCCUAAAUAAGAGGCCUCUUCGGUCUUCCUUGAUCAGCCCUGGACAUGUGUUCCCCAUUUAGACAAAAAGAAACUUUUCACACAUCACAAAACAGCCCAGCUCGGAGUGGAGUGGACGCUUGUGAUCGGAAUGCAAGGGAGGCCAAACAGAUCUGCAGGGGAACGUGGGAUGACCGGUUGAUAUCCUCUGACCCAUUCAGGCAUCAUCCAUACACAACUUCAGAGAAGAUCUGUUCAAAGCAGCUGAUGGAUGAGUGACUGCCACGGGCAAAGAUUUCAUCCAGAUACAAAUUUUUGCCAACAGUUUGUCCAAUAAAUAUAUUUUUUGUCCACCA